Ailuropoda melanoleuca (giant panda) is the source of this 171-nucleotide small nuclear RNA. Its record names the gene U2. It matches the Rfam family "U2 spliceosomal RNA". From Rfam's summary of the family: U2 is a small nuclear RNA (snRNA) component of the spliceosome (involved in pre-mRNA splicing). Complementary binding between U2 snRNA (in an area lying towards the 5' end but 3' to hairpin I) and the branchpoint sequence (BPS) of the intron results the bulging out of an unpaired adenosine, on the BPS, which initiates a nucleophilic attack at the intronic 5' splice site, thus starting the first of two transesterification reactions that mediate splicing. The record is from Ensembl. Lineage: Eukaryota; Metazoa; Chordata; Mammalia; Carnivora; Ursidae.
AUCGCUUCUUGGCCUUUUGGCUAAGAUCAAGUGAAACUUCACUAUGAAUCACAGCAUACAGUUCUUAUCUAUCUAUUUACAUCUUAAUUUUUUUUUAAUCUAAGUGGUUCUUUUCUAUUAAAAAGACAGUGAUGGGACUCUUGCACUUAAAGCAAUAUGUACUGAAUUGUC